GAGAGAGAGAGAGAGUAUAAUUCAGUCACCGUGAAGUCAUAUCCCAAACAAGAGUACUCCGAAUCACAUGUCCGAUAUAGAUCAAGUGGGAAAAAGGAAAAUAAGAUAAACAGAGAGGGAAAGAGGAAAGGGAAGAUGAUUUAACACAGAGGAAAGAAAAGACAGUUUAAAAGAGGGAAAAUAAUUCAGUUUAACAUAGAGGAAAGAGAAAAGAGUCUAAGAGAGAAGGAAGGAAAAAGGAAAGACAGGGAGGAGAGAGAUGACAAUCAAAUAUUUAUAAAAGGAAAGAAAAGAUAGUGUAACUGAGAGAGAAAAAAGGAAGACAUUUUAACAGAGAGGAAAAUGAAGACAGUUUAGCAGAGAGGAAAGAAAAAAAAAAAAAGAAGACAAUCCAACAGACAGAAGGAGAAGACAAUCAGAGAGAGGGCAGAAAAGAAGACAAUUUAACAAAGAGAAAAGGGAAGACAAUUUAACAAAGAGGACAAAAAAAAGACAGUCCAACAGGGAAAGAUAAAAAUAAAUACAUAUAUAACGGAGAAGAAAAGGAAAGGCAAUCCAGCAGAGAACAAAGAGAAGACAAUCGAACGAAGUAUUAUUAGAUACUUAGAAAGAGAGAGAGAAAAAAAGAAAGUGAGGCAAAAUGGAGGUGGACGAAAAAGAUAAAGGGAACAGAGAUGCGGGAGAAAGUGUUCCGUUGCAGCUGGGUGAGGCAUCAGGAGGAGAGAAGACAGAGGACACAGAAGAAAAGAGUCUCGAAAAAUCUUGCCCCUUAGAGGAAAAAGUUCAUUCUGAAAAUAAAUCACAAACAGUCGUGCAUGAGAUCAAGAUUACCGAAGAAAACCUGAACGACGAAGAGGAAUCCCAAGGAAUAAAAACAAAGGAAGGUAAGAAGAAUGAGAAGAAAGGUUUCAAGGUGGAAAAAAUUCAGUGUUUACCCGGAGAAAAGAAGGUAAUAGAGGAGAAAAUUGAGAUCGAAGAAAUAAUAAAAAUAUACCUAGAUUCUGUCGAAGAAAACUGUAUUGAGACCAAAAUUAUUCAGAGCAAGAGAGACGGCAGAGAAAAUUUAGACAUGGGAAACGUAAUUGACGAGAGACAGCGGCGAGACUUGAGAGAAGUAAAAGAACAUGUGGAGGAAACCGAAGAAAGAGAUGAGAGAGAAAACCUGAAAGAAAACACAACUUGGGAGAAGGAAAUAUUAGGAAAUAGAGUUGUAGUUCAGAGAGAGGAAUUAAGAUCUACCUGGGGGGAAGAAAGAGAGUUUGGUAUGAAAAUAGAGGGAAGAGAAGGAGAGACGUUCACGAAGAGGGUUUUACAUGAAAUUAUACCUGAAGAAAGUGACACGGACAAGGGAAGCGUGGAAGAUAAAGUAAUGAUGGUUCACUUUGAGAAGGAGGGAGGCACCGUCAAGAAAAAGGGAAGAAAGGAAAAGAAAGUCACCUGGAAGGAAAAGGAAGACGUGAAGAAAUGGAAACAGGAGAGAGUUUCCGCUAGAGAAGCUGAAAAAGUUGACAUAAGGAAAACAAAAAAGGAGAAAAAACUUGAAGGAAGAAUAGAAGGAAAAUUUCUGAGGAAAACAGAAGAAGAGAGAUUGGAGGAAGAGACGUCAAGACUAAAUAAGAAAGAAAACACAAGAAACGAGGUAGAUGUAGAGUACAUAGUCAAAGGAAAAACAGAUAAUAAAAUAAUCCGAAUAGAGACAGAAGAAGAAGAAAGAGAGAAAGGAGAAAGAACUAUUGCAGAACAAGAAUGGAAAGAAGAGAAGGAAAAAGCCAGGAGACAGAAAGAAGAGAAAAGACCUAGAGGAGAGAGGGAAGAGGAAGAGAGAGCCAAAAGAGAAAGAGAGGAAGAAGAGAAGGCAAAAAGAAAAAGAAAAGAGGAAGAGAGAGCUAGAAGAGAAAGAGAAGAGGAAGAUAGAGCUAAAAGGGAAAGAGAAGAGCAAGAAAGAGCAAGAACAGAGAAAGAAAAGGAGGAAAGAGCAAGAAUAGAGAGAGAAAAAGAAGAAAGAGCUAGAAAAGAGAGAGAAGAGGAAGAGAGAGCCAGAAGAGAAAGAGAGAAGGAAGAGAAAGCAAAAAGAAAAAGAGAAGAAAUGGCUAGAAGAGAGAAAGAAGAGGAAGAGAGAGCCAGAAAAGAAAUAGAGGAGGAAGAGAAAGCAAGAAGAAAGAGAGAAGAGGAAGAAAGAGCUACAAGAGAGAAAGAAGAGGAAGAGAGAGCCAGAAGAGAAAGAGAGGAGGAAGAGAAAGCAAGACGAAAGAGAGAAGAGGAAGAGAGAGCCAGAAGAGAAAGAGAGGAGGAAGAGAAAGCAAGAAGAAAGAGAGAAGAGGAAGAAAGAGCUAGAAGAGAGAAAGAAGAGGAAGAGAGAGCCAGAAGAGAAAGAGAGGAGGAAGAAAAAGCAAGACGAAAGAGAGAAGAGAAAGAGAGAGCCAGAAGAGAAAGAGAGGAAGAAGAGAAAGCAAGAAGAAAGAGAGAAGAGGAAGAAAGAGCUAGAAGAGAGAAAGAAGAGGAAGAGAGAGCCAGAAGAGAAAGAGAGGAGGAAGAAAAAGCAAGACGACAGAGAGAAGAGGAAGAGAGAGCCAGAAGAGAAAGAGAGGAAGAAGAGAAAACAAAACAAAAGAGAGAACAGGAAGAAAAAGCAAGAAUCGAGAGAGAAAAUGAAGAGAGAGCCAGAAGAGAAAGAGAGGAGGAAGAUAAAGCAAGAAAGAAGAGAGAAGAGGAAGAAAGAGCUAGAAUAGAGAAAGAAGAGGAGGAAAGAGCUAGAAGAAAGAGAGAAGAGGAAGAGAGAGCCAGAAAAGAAAGAGAGGAGGAAGAAAAAGAAAGAAAGAGGAGAGAAGAGGAAGAAACAGCAAGAAUAAGGAGAGAACAGGAAGAAAGAGCCAGAAGAGAAAGAGAGGAGAAAGAGAGAGCAAAAAAGAAGAGAGAAGAGGAAGAAAGGGUUAAAAGAGAAAGAGAGGAGGAAGAGAAAGCAAGAAGGAAGAGAGAAGAGGAAGAAAGGGUUAGAAGAGAGAAAGAAGAGAAAGCUAGAAGAGAAAGAGAUGAGGAAGAGAAAGCAAGACGAAAGAGAGAAGAGGAUGAAAGAGCAAAAAUCGAGAGGGAAAAGGAAGAGAAAACCAAAAGAGAAAGAGAGGAGGAAGAGAAAGCUAGGAGAAAGAGAACAGAAGAAGAGAGAGCUAAGAGAAAGAGAGAAGAGGAGGAGAGAGCCAGAAGAGAAAAAGAGGAUCAAGAGAAAGCUUGGAAAAAUAUAUAUGAGAUAGAGAAAGCAAGAAGAAAGAGAGAGCAAGAUGAAAGAGUCGAGAUAGAAAGAAAAGAGAGAGAAGAAAAGGAGAGAAUCAGAAGAAAGGAGGAAGAGGAAGAAAAAGCUAAACGAAAAAGAGAAGAGGAGGAGAAAAUAAGAAGAAAGAGAAAAGAGGAAGAAGCAGAAAAAUUAAGAAGGGAAAGAGAGGAAGAAGAAGAAGAAGAAAGAAUCAGAAAAGAAAAGGAAAUGGAAGAAUGGACGAUAAGGAAGAGGGAAGAUGAUAAACUAAGAGCUCUAAUCGAAAGAGAAGAAAUGGAAAGAAACACGAAACUGCGAGAACGAGAUGAAGAGAGAGGGGAAAGGAGAAUAAUUAUAAUGAGUAAAAGAGAAGACAAUCUGGAAACUCAAAUCAGAAGAGAAGUAAGGGAAAGAGACGUGACGCAACGAGAACAAGAUAAAGACAGAGAAGAAAAGAAAAUAAUGCUCAGUGAAGGAGAGGAAGACCUGAUCACAGUAUGGAAGAAAAAGGAGCAGCGGAACAUGUUAAGAAUACAGGAAGAGAGAGCAACACAAAGAAUGGCAUUUUUGAGAGCUAUAUGGAGGGAGGAGGAGGAAGAAGAGGCCAAGAGGAGAGAAGCAGAACUUAGGGAAAUGUGGAGGAGGGAAGAAGAGGAGGAGGAGGAAAGAUUAAAGCGAGAGGAAGAGGAGGAAAUAAAAAUCAGGUGUAGAGUAUCGGAGCUGCGAAGAAUGUGGCUUAGAGAAGAGGAAAGAAUUAGAAUAGAGGAGGAAAGGAGAGCACAAAGAAGGAGAGAGGAAGAAGAGAGAGCAAUAAGGAAAAGAAUAGAAGAAGAAGAGAGAGCUAAGAAGAGAGAAUCACAAUUAAGAGAAAUGUGGAUCAGAGAGGAAGAGAGAAUCCGCAGAGAAGUGGAAGAGAGAGCACGAAGGAAGAGGGAAGAGGAAGAGAGGGCAUUACGAAAGAGAAUAGAGGAAGAGGAAAGAGAGAAAAAAAGGGAAGCUGAAUUGAGAAAGGUGUGGCUCAGAGAGGAAGAAGUCAGGCUGAUGUGGAGAAGAGACGAAAGGGAAAAGAGCGAGAGGAGAAGAAAGGAAAAGAGAAGAAUGGAAGAGGAGGAGGCAAAAGCGAAAGAGAGAGAGGCUCGGGCAAGCGCCAUGUGGCAGAGAGAGGCAGAAUUGAUGUUGCUGUGGAAGACGGAGGAAGAGGAAAGUGCAAGGAUAAGAAAGGAGCAUGAGGAGCAAGUGAAGAGGAGAAAAGAGGAGGAGGAUAAGAUCAGGAGGAAGAGAGAGGAGGAGGAGAAGAGAGCCAGGGAGAGGGAGGAGGAACUAAGAAACAUGUGGAAAAGAGAGGAGGAACGAAAGGCAAAAUUGGAGAGGGAAGGAAAGGAAAGAAUAGAGAGGAAAACAAAUGAGGAAAACCUGAGCCGAAAGAAAGAAGAAGAGGCAAGGGCAAGAAAAAGAGAGCAACUCAGAAUCAUGUGGGAAAAGGAAGAAGAAGAGCGAAUCCAGAAAAAAAGAGAGGAGGUAUUAAAGGCCAAGAUAAUCAGAGAAGAAGAGGACAGGAAAAGGGAAAUGGAGGAGGAACAAGAGAGGGACAAGAAACAAAGGGAAGAAGAGGAGAGAGCUAUAUUGAUGCAGCUAGAGGAAAUAAUCGCUAAAAUAAAAGAGGAGAAGAGAGAAAAGGAACGUGAACUAUUGCAAGAACAGGAAAGGAAAAUAAGAGCUACGUGGAAGAGACGGGAGAACAGGACACAGGUGAUGGCGGUCAAGGAGUGGAGCAAAGUGGAGCAGCGGACGGAGAAAAGAGCGAGAAGAGUGGACGAGUGCUGGAGAGAGGAGGACGCGUGGUGGUGGAAGAAACCGCACGACGACUACAUAAACGCGUUGUUGGCCGACCUUCAGAACACCAUCACGCCCAGCCAGUCCGCCACUUCACCGUCCCCCGCCCACCACCACAAUGGCCACAAUAUGUAUCGCCAGGAGAGAGUGGAGGAAGUACGGACGGAGCAGCGGGUAAGCGAUGGUGGCCCCAAAAGUUCUGCCCUCAAUAACAACCUCUCGGAAUUAGACACUUUGCUGGAAGAUCUCAACCAUGCAAGAUACUCUGGCUUCAAAGAACCUGUUACCAACGGAGCUGUUAAUGGAUCGCGCCCCUCUGUUGACUCCCUGUUAGAUGAACUGAACAGUGUGGACACUAACAACCAUGAGGUGGUGGAGCAUCACACGGUACACAAGGAGUUUACCACCACGCACCAAACUCUGCCAUCCCGGGCGCCGCCGCCGCAGGUCACCCCUGUGCCGGUAGCUGUCUCGCGCCCCGUCGCGCCCUCCCAGGCGUCGGCCUCUUCUGCCACCAAGGAGUUGGAUGACCUCAUGGCGUCUCUCAGCGACUUCAAGAAACAGGAGAAGCUGCGCAGGCCCUGCUCUUGUGCGCAAGUUGAUCAACGCGAGCAGCCUACAGACCCAAGUAGACUCGGCCUACGCACGACCGCAAAAGCCCACCAAGAGCCCAUCUCCGCCUGCCCCUGUUCAAUCCUCAGCGUCACCAUUGAAGGAGUCUACACCUACGCCUAUCCCGAAGGAACCCACGCCUUCACCUACGCCCCCGCCGGCGAACCAGCUUGAUUCUAUGCUGGGCUCCCUGGCCAGCCACAUGACUGAGCAGGGCGUUACCACCACACAAAAGGGCUGCUGCACCGCCUGCGACAAACCCAUCGUUGGGCAGGUGAUCACAGCCCUGGGCAAGACCUGGCACCCGGAGCACUUCACAUGCACCCACUGCAAUCAAGAGCUGGGCACCAAGAACUUUUUCGAACGUGACGGCAGACCAUACUGCGAGCAAGACUAUCACGACCUGUUCUCUCCGCGAUGUGCUUACUGCAACGGGCCCAUCCUGGACAAAUGUGUAACAGCCCUGGACAAGACGUGGCACCCGAAGCACUUCUUCUGCACACAAUGCGGAAAUACUUUCGGCGACGAGGGCUUCCACGAACGCGACGGAAAACCCUACUGUCGGGAGGACUACUACAACAUGUUUGCUCCAAAAUGUGCAGGCUGCAAUUCACCCAUCAUGGAGAAUUACAUCUCUGCCCUCAAUGCCCAGUGGCACCCAGAAUGCUUCGUGUGCAGGGAUUGCCGUCAGCCCUUCAAUGGAGGGUCCUUCUUCGAUCACGAAGGAAUGCCCUACUGCGAGACACAUUACCAUGCCAAGCGUGGCUCCCUGUGUGCUGGGUGCAGCAAGCCCAUCACAGGGCGCUGCAUCACUGCUAUGUUCCGCAAGUAUCAUCCAGAGCACUUUGUGUGCUCCUUCUGCCUCAAACAGCUCAACAAGGGCACAUUCAAAGAACAGAACGACAAACCUUAUUGUCAUGCUUGCUUCGACAAAUUAUUUGGCUAAGGGAAUCACACCAGCAUCUCCAGUCAAGCUGUUUAGGCAGAUCUUGCUUUUUCUACUGCAGUCCAGCUCCCCAGAAUGAUGAAAAAACAAAUACAACAUGGGACUCAACACUGGAUUCAGGGAGAAAUAGGGAUUCAUACAGCAGUGUGAACAUUUUUGAGAAAUUUACAAAAAAUAGAAGGAUAAAAAAGUUUCAUAGUAAGUACAACACAGAAAAAUAUCAUCCUUUUGUCAAACUCCAUUGUUCUCUUUUUUCUAAUGUCAGUUAUUACUAUCUAUAUUUCUCUCAUCUUUACCUUCCUCUCCAUUAUCAUUGUCUUUGCUUUCCUUGUGAUCAUCUUUCUUUUCUAUUCCCAUACUAUCUGUAUUCUUAUGUCUACCCAUGUGUUCACAACCAUCACAUUUGUCAUCAUCAGUCCAGUAGUCCUUACCAUCAUUAUUAUUUGUACUCCAUCCACCGCUUGAAAUAUUUCCCACUCCUUUAUCAUCAUGUUCUUUGCUCAUGUUACCAGCUUUUACUUUAUUUGAUCUUCAAAACAAAUUUUGUAAUUUCAUGUCACAGAUCAUCCAUCUUAUGGAAGCAUGAUAGUAAUUGUGAAAUAACUUCACUUGGGAGAAAUGGUUUGUUGAUAGUAGCAGUAUGUCUUUGGCUUAAGUCCUUGCUUGAAAUACAGUUUCUUUACUUAAUAUAUAUUUUACUUAGUCAUAUAAUGCAAAUAAUAUUUUUCCGAGUUUAUUUACUGGUCAUAGGUGCUCUCAAAGUCAUCAGUCCUACAUAUGUAUUGAUGCUUAUCUCAAGUCUGUGGCUCAAACAUUAUUUAAUUAACAAAAUAAGUACUAUUUGCUUUACAGUUUCCUUGAGAGUAAGAGCUGAUAUUGAUUUUGCUAUAGAUUAAGGUUGAAUAUUAUUUUAUAAGAUAUUAUUGUAUUAAGAUAUAAUAAACAUGUAUGCUGUUUAUGGUGUGAAGCACAAGAAAAGAUUAUCUGCAUUUAUUUUCUGUGAAUGACCACAGUUUUAGUGUGACUAUCAAUAUCUUUUAAUAGCAUUGGAGGUCACAACUUUGUCCUCAGCUGAUUACUUGCUAAAAGUUUCAUUGUAAUUGUGUGGUGUUAUAACAAGUUGCUUUAAUCAGGAAAGUAACAUCAGUUGUGUAUGUAAUAACAUGAUUGAGAAAUUAACUAUUGUAGAUAUAAGUGUGGUGAAUGUUCAAGAAUGAUCAACCACUAAGAUGCUACUCCGUUUAUCUGCUAUGGUCCUUGAACUUCAUGAUCAUAACUGUCAAUUUCAAAUUGUCUGAUGUUUUGAUAUUUAUGAUAGAGAACAAAACCUUGAUUCAGAUAUUAUUAGAGACUAAAAUUAUGGUAAUAUUAGUAUGGAAUGCAUAAAAAAAAAAAUGAAGCACAAAAAGUAGCCUGUUUUUUGUGUUUUGAAUAGUAGUUCCUAUUGUUUUCCUGUGUCAGGGAUGCCAAUAUACCUUCAUCCCUCUUUAUCAAAACAAUGUUUGUAGGGCAUCAUAUAAGUGUGAGGAUGAAAUCAGAUGCUAAAAAUAUGCAAUGUUUCAGAUUAAUAUUUUCAGAAUAUGAGGAACCAUGGUAUGAUAGUAGAUUUUAUCGAGAUGAAGAAAGUGAGAGACAUAAUAUAAUCUUACUGCCUAUGGGUUUGCAUUUGAAACUCCCAAAUCUGCAAACUGCAAAAGUUGAGGUUAAAAAACUUUCAGUCCCAUUGAUAUUAACUGGAUUUGUGCAAUUAUUAGUGCAUGUAUGGAACACAUCUCCUGUAAGAACAACAUGUAAAUGCAUGCAUCUCCAUACUCAUAUAAAUAGAUGCUAUGAAUGAAACUUAUCAUGAAAUAUUAUCAUAUACAUUAAACUCAUCAUAGAAUGAAGUCCAUUAUGUCUGUUAUCAGAAAGGCAAGUCAAUUUUCAAGUGGAUUUCUGAUACCAGAGUAUAUUUUGGAGUAAGCCGAGUAGUGUGGUUCAAAUCAAAAGUUUUCCUUGUAUGUAGCCUUAUAACAGUGGAUUUUCUCCCAGAACAAUAAUUUAAUAUAUAUAUAUAUAUAUAUAUAUAUAUAUAUAUAUAUAUAUAUAUAUAUAUAUAUAUAUAUAUAUAUAUAUAUAUAUAUAUAUAUAUAUAUAUAUAUAUACAACACACACACACACACACACACACACACACACACACACACACAGAGCACUCCACAUUAGAAAGACUGUUUGCAUCACCCUGGCCAAAACUAAGAUAACUGUUUAUAGAACUAUUGAGUUCUUAACUUUCAUGUGAUCAUGGAUGAGUGUUCCAUUAAAGAAGAAAAGUCCAGCUACUCCAUUGAUAUAGAUGCAACACACUGCUGAACAAUAUUCUAUGUUGAAGGGCUGCCCGUUGAGGAUGAGUAGCCUUUAGAAUAGGGAAUUUUUUUCCCCUGGGUUAUAUCCAUAUUAGAAUGGUUGUUCAGCCAAUGCAGGAAGGGCAUCAGCCAAUCAAAGCACUCCUGGCCCAUUUCAAAACUCCCUUCAGCCAAUGGGAGGCCAGUGGUAGCUUGUCAUCAACAAUCCCUUUUGUUGUGGCAUUCUUUGCAUGUUUGGCAGUGGUGGCUACUGGUGAACUUUUACAAGUGUAGCUGGAGGAGUGAUCCUGGUGCCGCUGCAUAAUGUUCCCAUCAUUUUAUAUGUAUUGUUAAUAUUGUUUAUUUUGUUUUUCAUGUUACACUGUUUAUAAAGCAUCAUUAUCAUGUGCAGUAUUCAUCAACACUGCAUUAAACAUUCUCUAACUUCCAAAACCAUAACAUGAGUUGCAAUGAAAGUGCUUAAGUUUGACUGCAUCUUUUACUUUCAUUUAUUUAUUUAUUUAUUUAUUUAUUUUAUUUAUUUAUUUUUUUUGUGGGUGGAAAAGUGAACAUCCUUUCUGAUGUGGGCACCAUAUAUUGCUUAAGUUUGACUGCAUCUUUUACUUUCAUUUAUUUAUUUAUUUAUUUAUUUAUUUUAUUUAUUUUUUUUUUUGUGGGUGGAAAAGUGAACAUCCUUUCUGAUGUGGGCACCAUAUAUUGCUUAAGUUUGACUGCAUCUUUUACUUUCAUUUAUUUAUUUAUUUAUUUAUUUAUUUUAUUUAUUUAUUUUUUUUGUGGGUGGAAAAGUGAACAUCCUUUCUGAUGUGGGCACCAUAUAUAUAUAUAUAUAUAUAUAUAUAUAUAUAUAUAUAUAUAUAUAUAUAUAUAUAUAUAUAUAUAUAUACUGUCACCACACACACACACACACACACACACACACACACACACACCAGGUUUUCAUUCUAUUUCAAGUUUUUCAGAUAUCUGAAUUCACUAUAAAAAAAAAAAUUCUUCAGAAAGGCAACAAGAAUAGUUGAUAUUUUAGUUGCCUUCUAACUCCAUGCUCCACCAUUGAAAUUGUAAUGAUUUUAUCUGCAUCAUUUAUUCUGCAUUAUGCCUAGUUUUGCUCUGUCUGUUAAUAAAGGAAGUUUUAUGCA
This is an RNA transcript of Scylla paramamosain (green mud crab), 10119 nucleotides long. It is a transcript of the gene named leupaxin-like, with no coding region annotated. The transcript has 11 exons. Lineage: Eukaryota; Metazoa; Arthropoda; Malacostraca; Decapoda; Portunidae. The record is from RefSeq and is a predicted model, not a curated record.